GGUUCGAUGGUGUAGUCGGUUAUCACAUCUGUCUCACAUAGUCGCUAUGCCAGAUGUAGAGCACCGAAGGUCUACAGUUCGAGUCUGGAUCGAACCA
Molecule: non-coding RNA, 97 nt
Organism: Paramarasmius palmivorus
Lineage: Eukaryota; Fungi; Basidiomycota; Agaricomycetes; Agaricales; Marasmiaceae
Source: the annotation of a GenBank genome assembly